This 245-nucleotide unclassified non-coding RNA is filed under the name Hevea brasiliensis (rubber tree). Lineage: Eukaryota; Viridiplantae; Streptophyta; Magnoliopsida; Malpighiales; Euphorbiaceae. The record is from RNAcentral.
GAUUUUCAGGCAUGGCCAUGCUUCAUAUCUGGGGAGAGAUUAUAAGCAUACUGUUAAUAUGGCAGAAGCAAAUCUGCCUCCUGGACCAUCUCAUCCUGUGAGAACUUAGCCAUGAUUUUUUGUCUUACUGGUCUACUAUGUAGUUUAUGCAUGUAGUAUAUGAUUUUCCAAUNNNNNNNNNNNNGAUUUUAAUGUGACUGUCGGAUUCAGAAUAGUGUUGAAAACUGCUAAAACCUUUAAUGCAU